Long non-coding RNA from Humulus lupulus (European hop), 2547 nucleotides. RefSeq lists it as uncharacterized. Lineage: Eukaryota; Viridiplantae; Streptophyta; Magnoliopsida; Rosales; Cannabaceae. The record is from RefSeq and is a predicted model, not a curated record. The transcript is spliced from 6 exons.
AUUGCUUUUCUCUGUUUUAGUCACUUUUGCUUUAAUAUGAUCCAUAUGUGAUAUCUAAAACGUAGAAGCUAGGCAAGAUUUCUGGUUGUUUUUUUAUCUUUACUAUUCUUGUUGUUUAUUGGUCUUGUAUAUAUAGUGGCACCUUUUCAUUUUUGUGGUAUUUUGUUCUGCAGAAAUUUGCAUUCUCUCUAGUUUGAUUUGCUAUCUAGUUUGUGUUGUUCUUUCUGCUCUAUUUUAAUUAUAGGUGUUGGGUUAGUACAUCUUCUUUUUUCUUUCAUUUUUGUGUGUCCAUACCUUGAGUGAAGUCUCUGUCAAAAGAAAUAAACUUUUUAUUUUUAAAAGAUAAGCCACAAACCACUACAAAAAACUUAACUUUUAGUCACAGCCAUUUUGUGACAACAAAAAUAAUAUGUGACUUAAUAUAUUUUUUAGUCAUAAUUUGUAGCAAAAAAUAUUUUAGUGACAACAAAUUUCUAGGAAAAUGCAGCAAGUAAGAUUCUAGCAAAUUCCAACAAACCUUUGGGGCAUACAAACAUGUGCAAAUAAGAUUCUAUCCAAACAAAACAUGCCAUUAGAAACAGCUAUCAAGAAAAGAAAAUAAAACAAGAUUCACAACUUACUUUAGUGAGAAGCAAAUGAUUCAGAGGCCUCCAUCUGAUCACUUAAUUUACUCUAUUACAGGCUUGUAUCAUUCAGUAUAAUGAGUUAGAUACUCAGUAGGGGUGAAGGAUCAAUCAAAAUUUUGGGUUAGGAUUGGUAGAAAGUGUAAAUGCAGCAUUGAUGGAAGUAUUUUCAAUGUUCUUAGUUUUAGUCAUUGGGCUUAUAUUUAUAAGUAAAAUUGUACAAAAGUAAACAAGAGGCUGUUUCAGUCUGGUUUUCAUGGUAGCUGGUUUGAGUUUGUUUCGGUUAAGCAAGAAUUGGCAAAAGUUAUACACUAAAGCAAAGAGAGGUUGAAUUUGGUUUGAUAGGUAAAACUGAAUAUAAUUCUAACUGUUCAACAAAAGAAUAAACAAAUCCACCUGGGGUGUUCUUUUUCUUCUCCCACUACCAAUAACUUGCCUUGGCUAUCAGAUUUUGGCUCGUUUUACUUAAUUUUUUACCAAAAGACAAUGGUUAGCAUUAUGAAAUUGAUGUGAGAAAAUAAAGGAGAAAAUAGUCAUACUUGUGUAUUUGUUGUUUUUGAGUGAGUGACUUUGAGAUAUUUCCAUCUCCAUGAUAGUGGAGAGAUCGAUAGAAGUAUUGUUGGCAAUGGCAAUUUAUUGUGUGAUUUGGUGUGAUGUGAAUUGAUUUGAUUGGUUUAUUUGUAAAAAAGAAAUAAAAGUAUUGUGAAAUACAAUGAAUUCUUCAUAUCUUUUAGUGUUAAAUUUUCUCACUUCCAAAUAGAUAAAACAAUGGCAAAAAAAUAGUGAUUCAAUUCUUACUGUAUUUUAUAUGUUGUAAUGAGCAAUUGAAACACAGAUAAAAAAAGUAUCAAAGAUGGAUAAAAGACCAAAAAAGUUUCUAAAGAAACAGCAAAUAAUUUGAAGAUAAGGGUCAAAAAGAAAAAGAAGAAUGUAAGCUACUAAAGCUGAAAAAAAAGAGUUAAAAAAUGAGAGGACAAUAGGAAUGAAUCUUUUUUCUUGGGUUGGCUUGUUAAUGAAGAAUACUUUUGUGUCCUUUAGAAGUAGCAGCCUAAUGAACAAGCAAAGAACCUUCCAAAACCUUCUCUCAAAAGCUCUGGUUUAUAAUAAGAUAUCACUUCAAUUCAUUCAUGCACACACAAUCACAACUCAUCUUCUUUCUUUCUGCAUUGUGCAGUAACUUUUCCCAAACCUCUUUUCCUCCACUUAAAAUGGUUGAUAAUAAGCUAUUCAAAUAUGUUUCCUUAGUACUUUUGGUGCUUAAUUUUUGUAUGUAUGUCAUUGUGUUGAGCAUUGGUGGUAAUGCUCUCAACAGAGCCAUUGACCAUGGAUUUGUCAUUGGGAUCAUGACAAGGCGACCUUUGGUCUUGCAGCUUGACAAGACAAACAAGGGAGCUCAGAAAUACGCCGAGUUUCUUCACCUUUGCAAGAGGAGAUUCACAGAUUUUGGAAUUGAUGUUCAGUUUUUAAGUUACAUAAUUAUUUUUGCCAAAACUUGAGAAGAGAGCUGGCAAUUAGGAGUCAGAAAAUCUGAGGUCAAAUUUUUGUUAUGGCUGGGUUGAAGAGUUGGUGUUUUUUGCCGGUUUAAAGGAGCAGUAUGAAAUCUUAAUUCAUCAUUUCAUACAGGCUGAUAUGACCAUGUUAGAAAACGAACUACCAACAAAAAGAUGACUUUCAUCAGCCCUUGUCAAGGUAUAUUGAGAUGAUUUCUUUGGAGCAAUUCUUGACAACAUUUGUAGUUGAAGCUUUAGAAUGGAAGAAUGUAGUUCACUAAUUUUUGUAUACAUUUCUUGUUUUGUAUUUAGUGAUAAAGGAAUCUGAAUUAGGCAUAAAUUAUGUUGUAAUAUGAUUUUUUAAGCCUAGAUUAGUAGACUAAAUAUUGUAAUUACAUUUGAGUAAUUAAUAAAAAUCUAUUUAUGUUAUUUUA